Molecule: ribosomal RNA, 690 nt
Filed under: Triticum aestivum (bread wheat)
Lineage: Eukaryota; Viridiplantae; Streptophyta; Magnoliopsida; Poales; Poaceae
Description: partial small subunit ribosomal RNA
Source: RNAcentral
AUGCCUAACUCGCUGCUCGACUCGCCGCCGCAGCUCCCUGCCGCCGGCCCUUGGGGCUCUCUGUUCGCCGUUCAGGAACCCGGGAAGCCUCGGCGUGUGUCGGUGGCGCUACCGUUCGCUCCCAGGAAGAUGCCGGCGUACCGGUACGGCAUGAAGCGGAACCUGGAGAUGUGCACCGAGGCGCUCGGGUGCGAGACCGGUGGCGUCGACCCAGCCGCUGACGACGCCGACGAGGGCGUGGAGCGGAAGAGGAAAUACAGAGAGGAGGAGACCAAGGUGGAGCCGACAGAGCGGAGGGCGCGCGUGCUGCCGCCGCCGCUGACGACGCUGGCGGCUGGCGCGACCCGCAUGCGCAUGGUCCACGAGCGACGCAGCGGGAGGCUGGAGGUGUACGCCGUGCGGGCCUCCGGAAUGGAGGCCGAGCGGAGCGGCGGGCGUCUUCGGCUCCGCCUCCUGCCCUGCGCCGGCUGCAAUGCCGCCGCCGUGUGCAGCAGCCAACAAGAAGCGCAAGAAGCAGAGGAAGAUGAGGCAGAGGAGGUCGAUCAGCAGCAGCGGCAGCAGGAGUGUGUGGUCCCAAAGUACGUGCGCCGCGAGCGGUGCCUGAAGGUGGAGAGUGGCGCCACGGCGGCGAGGUGCAGCAUCAAAUGGGAGCAGGAGCAGGCUGCCGCCUUCUGGGUGGCCACCACCUGA